RNAcentral lists this transfer RNA (74 nucleotides) under Dehalococcoidia bacterium. RNAcentral describes it as "tRNA-Val". It matches the Rfam family "tRNA". From Rfam's summary of the family: Transfer RNA (tRNA) molecules are approximately 80 nucleotides in length. Their secondary structure includes four short double-helical elements and three loops (D, anti-codon, and T loops). Lineage: Bacteria; Bacillati; Chloroflexota; Dehalococcoidia. The record is from RNAcentral.
GGCCCUGUAGCUCAAUCGGAAAGAGCACCCUUUUUACGCAGGGGAGGCUGGGGGUUCGAGUCCCCCCAGGGCCA